AACAUUGAAUAAACAUUGUUUUUCCAUCUGAAUCAUCAUUAUGGUUGAUAUUGAAAUUUCAAUGCAAAAUAAAUGUUGAAUCAACAUUAUCAUAUCGAUGAAAACCUGAUGUUAUUAAUGUUGAUGGCAACAAUAUUGGAACAACAUUGAUCCAUAGUUAUCUUUAUGAUUGAUUAAGCAUUGAUAUUUGGUUACCGGGUGAUCCCUGAAUGUGUUGAAAAGUAAUUGAUUUAUAGUGGACAGAGAAAUGAUGCUGUUGUUGAAAAGUCAUCGAAAUAUAGUUGACCGGGAAAUAUGAUAGAAAAUGCAUCGAAAUAUAGUUGACCAGGAAAUAUGAUUGAAAAUGCAUCGAAAUAUAGUUGACCGGGAAAUAUGAUUGAAAAUCCAUCGAUUUUUGGUUGACCGGGAGAUCAACGGGUGGUAUACCCAACGUACUGCACCGGACACAGCUCAUUUCUGGAGCCUUGGCACAAGCGUACAGGCUGCCAGAAAGAAUCCGUCUCUAUAGUGAGUGAUUAUUGAAUGAGGCUGUACAUUAUAAAUGUAAUGUUUUAACUCGAGAUGUUUGUUUGUGUAAAUGCUGUGUGUGCGCUGAGUUCUGCGCGAGCGGGGAGCAGAGUUGCCAUGGAAACGGGGCGUCAACACAAAAACCGUUACUGGCAAGCAGUAAUCUCCGUCUCUUGCUGCGGUUGACGCUGUUUUAGGAGGACAGAAAUAAACUAUACAGAACAAAGUGAAACUCCAAGAUUUUUGAAAAGAAAAUUGGUGAAAUAUAUUCUGAAAAAGGCAUAUUAAUGUAUUUCAUGAGCUUCUUCAGUAAAUCUGUAUUUCUAAGUCAGUAUCUCCCUUCAGAAAUGUGGCUGAAGGGAGAUACUGACUUAGAAAUACAGGUGAACUCAUGAAAAUAAGCUCAUGAAAUACUCAUGAAAGAAGCUCAUGAAAUACAUUAAUAUGCCUUUUUCAGAAUAUAUUUCACCAAAUUUAAGGAGUCCCUGACAUCAAAACAUUGCUUGUUUUGUUCCUGGACUCUUCAGUGAUGAUGAGCAGAGUCUGAGUGAACCUGCUGUCAGACAAUCACUAUUGCACACCAAAUGCUCUUACUCAGCAGAUGGGGACAGCUACCAUCACCCAAUUUUCACCCAAAAGUGGCUGCGCUAUGCGCCAGACCGGGCAGGAGGGACUGGACGACAACUUAUGCAGGCAUCAGAUGACAAUGAAGUGUAAAUAAAGAGUAGAGGCUAAUAAACAGGAAUUUGAUUUUCAA
Long non-coding RNA from Carassius auratus (goldfish), 1264 nucleotides. RefSeq lists it as uncharacterized. The record is from RefSeq and is a predicted model, not a curated record. The transcript has 6 exons. Lineage: Eukaryota; Metazoa; Chordata; Actinopteri; Cypriniformes; Cyprinidae.